This 465-nucleotide ribosomal RNA is filed under the name uncultured bacterium. RNAcentral's name for it is "partial 16S ribosomal RNA". It matches the Rfam family "Bacterial small subunit ribosomal RNA", at positions 28 to 507 of the family's 1533-position model. The record is from RNAcentral.
GACGAACGCUGGCGGCGUGCUUAACACAUGCAAGUCGUACGGUAAGGCCCUUUCGGGGGUCCACGAGUGGCGAACGGGUGAGUAACACGGGAGUAACCUGCCCACAACUUUGGGAUAACGCUAGGAAACUGGUGCUAAUACUGGAAAUGUGCUCCUGCUGCAUGGUGGGGGUUGGAAAGCUCCGGCGGUUGUGGAUGGACUCGCGGCCUAUCAGCUUGUUGGUGGGGUAGUGGCCUACCAAGGCGGCGACGGGUAGCCGGCCUGAGAGGGUGACCGGCCACAUUGGGACUGAGAUACGGCCCAGACUCCUACGGGAGGCAGCAGUGGGGAAUAUUGCACAAUGGGCGCAAGCCUGAUGCAGCAACGCCGCGUGCGGGAUGACGGCCUUCGGGUUGUAAACCGCGUUCAGCAGGGACGAAGCUUUUUGUGACGGUACCUGCAGAAGAAGCACCGGCUAACUACGUG